RNAcentral lists this small RNA (76 nucleotides) under Xanthomonas vesicatoria. Its description in RNAcentral is "sX9". It matches the Rfam family "Xanthomonas sRNA sX9". RNAcentral also lists the same sequence under 1 other name. The record is from RNAcentral. Lineage: Bacteria; Pseudomonadati; Pseudomonadota; Gammaproteobacteria; Lysobacterales; Lysobacteraceae.
AUGUGCCGCUCGUGCACUCCGAUUCAGAGUGCCCCAUCCAUAUCAAUUGACGACUGCUCGCUACGUUCUGUCAGCC